AUUUGUAUGACAUGGCAUUCACCAAUGCAGUCAGAUGAAAAUGUGGCUCAAACUAUUGAUGGAUGCCCCCCGCUCUUUUACUUGUACCCUUGUUUGUUUCUUAAUAACUCUGUACUUAUGUGUAUCAAUCUGACUAUUGUUUUUCUUCAUUUCUUCUUUCGUAGAGAAUUGGAGCGUGUCCUUGCAGCCAUUGCAUGUCAAUGCAGUCGAAAUAUAGUAGGCAAUCAAGAUGCAUUUUAGUGUAUGUUUCUUUUCUGAUAUCUGGAAUAUAUGUUCAGAUUAUAGUAACUGAAAUAUAUGUUAGCUGCAAUUUGCUAAAGGGUGAUAUGCUUAUGAUCUUAUGGAUGGAAGCCCUAGAGUUCAAUUACCAGGACUUUUUUCACAAGAGUUAGGAUCAGCUGGCCCCGAGUGCAAAGAACUUCAAGAAACAACAAAGAGUUGUUGAUGGAUAAUUCAGCCGGCUUGCUUCUCUGUUUGCCAAUUGUUUGGAGCUACGAGGUGUCCUAAAUCUCUAGUGCAAAAACUAUAGCACUGGAUGUGUUGCCCUUCAGAGGUGGUGCCGGAAGGAUCAGGGGCGAAGCCAACAUAGAGAAGGAGGCAAUUGUGAUCGCAGCUGAGGGAAGCAAAAGCACGUGGAGGGGCAUUCCUCAGCCUACUGUAUCUUUGUUUGAAGAGAUUAACGACUGGCAAAGACUAAGUCUCCUCUGGUGUGCAUCAAUCAAGGGUUACAUGUAGUUCUACUUUAUGCCCAGCCCGGCAAGGUAGCGGGUAUAUAUGGAAGAAGCUAUGUUGUUAAUCUGUUAUAUCGUGAUUUAAGACCAGCAAAUGGUUAGAAUAUUAACCCUCGGUUAGCAUGGUAUCCAAUAUGCCUAGAUUGAUAUAAAUUGUUGCCUAGAUUGAUAUAAGUUGUUACAUUCACAGGCUAUCUUCAUGCAAACAGAGUUAGGCAUUAACUGAUGCAAGCUGGCUCUUCCAGAUGGCAUCUAAUCUGUUUUCAGUGGUGGAAAAAAUAUGUCUUCACAACUAUAUUGAGCCUUGAGCGUGUUCUGUAGACUGUAGUCCUUUCUUCAAAAAAAUUUAAAGCUAGAUGUGACACUGGAUGGUCUGAAUUAUCGGCUGUCUAGGUUUUUUCUGUCCUGAGAAUAGAUCGCAAACUGUACCUGCAUAUUUAAUAAUUUUUGUGCACAUUAUGUUUUGCUUCCAAGCCCGGGUAAAGGAGGAGGGUUGUGAUAAGCUU
Triticum aestivum (bread wheat) is the source of this 1237-nucleotide long non-coding RNA. RefSeq lists it as uncharacterized. Lineage: Eukaryota; Viridiplantae; Streptophyta; Magnoliopsida; Poales; Poaceae. The record is from RefSeq and is a predicted model, not a curated record. The transcript is spliced from 4 exons.